Molecule: ribosomal RNA, 460 nt
Filed under: uncultured bacterium
Lineage: Bacteria
Description: partial 16S ribosomal RNA
Rfam family: Bacterial small subunit ribosomal RNA
Source: RNAcentral
CCUACAGGAGGCAGCAGUGAGGAAUAUUGGUCAAUGGGAGGAAUCCUGAACCAGCCAUGCCGCGUGCAGGACGACGGCUCUACGAGUUGUAAACUGCUUUUGUACCGGGGUAAAAUGCUCUACGAGUAGGGUUUUGAAAGUACGGUACGAAUAAGGAUCGGCUAACUCCGUGCCAGCAGCCGCGGUAAUACGAAGGGUGCGAGCGUUGUUCGGAAUUACUGGGCGUAAAGGGAGUGUAGGCGGAUAUGUAAGAUAGCGGUGAAAUGCCGGGGCUCAACCCCGGAACUGCCAUUAUGACUAUGUAUCUAGAGUAAUGGAGAGGAUAGCGGAAUACCCAGUGUAGAGGUGAAAUUCGUAGAUAUUGGGUAGAACACCGGUGGCGAAGGCGGCUAUCUGGCCAUUUACUGACGCUGAGGCUCGAAAGCAUGGGGAUCAAACAGGAUUAGAUACCCGAGUAGUC